UACGUAGGUGGCGAGCGUUAUCCGGAAUUACUGGGCGUAAAGGGCACGCAGGCGGUCAUUUAAGUCUGACGUGAAAGCUCCUGGCUUAACUGGGAGAGGUCGUUGGAAACUGGAUGGCUUGAGGCAAUGAGAGGGGUGCAGAAUUCCCGGUGUAGUGGUGGAAUGCGUAGAUAUCGGGGGGAAUACCAGUGGCGAAAGCGGCGCCCUAGCAUUGACCUGACGCUGAGGUGCGAAAGCGUGGGGAGCGAACGGG
RNAcentral lists this unclassified non-coding RNA (253 nucleotides) under uncultured Caldilineaceae bacterium. Its description in RNAcentral is "contains 16S-23S intergenic spacer region". It matches the Rfam family "Bacterial small subunit ribosomal RNA", at positions 524 to 776 of the family's 1533-position model. The record is from RNAcentral. Lineage: Bacteria; Bacillati; Chloroflexota; Caldilineae; Caldilineales; Caldilineaceae.